UAGAAUUCAAGAUUUUAAACACCUGUGUUUGAAUAGGCUCGUGGUAGUUAGCUGGUCCUUCCUAAAUACCUUCCUAAGCAGACCUGAAAUAUCUGUAAAGAAAUGACAAAAUACAUUAUGUGCUGGAUGCUGUGAAUCACAUAGCUUUCCUACCUUCCUUACAAUAGAUGGUGUUUCUGGGUAAUUCACACUGCUGAACAUGAGGACUAUGAAAAGCCAGCACAAGGUUAUUGAUUAGAUGAAGACAGUUUUCAUCAGCGCACUUCUGAUAUACUCGUAACAUGAAUUGACAUUGAAUUUUCCUGGUAAUAAAGCAAGUUUAUCCACGUGAGCCUUCAAAUUUUGUCCUUUUGCUUACUUAGGAAAUGUGACAAUUGUUUCUUCUACCCAAGGCCAAUUUCACCUGUCCAGAUAUGAAGGGAAACUCAUCAAGUAUUAGAGACUGUGAUUUUUAAAGCCACUGUGUAGCAGAAGGUGUUAAGGGCCCAGCCACCAUUUGAGUGGUUCUAUCUGAGUGAAAAGCAUACCUGACACCACUUAUUUACCACCAAAAACACAACCACUCUGUGGUUAGAUCUCUUAAGAUCACAUGUGUGUAUUAGCUCCAAAGUGGUAUAGGUGCCAGUAAUUGAAAUUUACACUUUCCUAGUAAAAGUUUUGAUUUUUUUUGCCUUUUUUUUUUUUUUAAUUUUUGUAAUUACCUUUAAUGUCUUGGCGUUUUGCGAAUAGUUUCCAAUUGGUCUAUUGGCAUCUAGGGAUGCCUUUAAUAUAUCUAAUCAAUGUGCAUGCCACACUGCUUCCAAGAACUGCAAAAGUUGUUCCGACUGUUCUCUUUGUUAGAAUUCUUUUUGUCUUUUUUAGUGAAUCCUCAGCUGUUUCUCAGAUUCCCAGAAUCCUACACAAAAAACAUGAAAUGCAGCUGAAGUUACUGUCCCAUACAUACUAAUACCUGAAAACUUUCUCUUCCAGCUGUGAAGAACUGAUGUGUUAAAAAGAUUAUUCACAAGACCUUGCUUUCCUGUAAUAAACCUAAAAAAGGAGACUGAAAUAAGCAUGCUUUCUAAAUACAGUGCUUAAGUCUAGAUAGAAUUUCAGAGCAACAUUUCAUGCCUCUUGUCAACACAUAAGGAUAAAAUGCUGUGUCAGAGACUCAGAAUGGUAGAGACAUGAAAGUAAGAGGCAGCCCAGAAUUUAUUAGUAACAGGGGCACUUCGACUCUAUCUAUGCUAACAAACUCAGUGUGUAAAUGCUGCUAUCCUCCACAACUGGAGGAUUGACUGCCCCCAAACAAACUACUACCUAUGGCCAUUGAAAAGUCCAACUUCUGUAUGGCACCCAUGAAGUCCUUGAGAAAGCAUUGGUUGAUGUGAAUAAUUUUUGUAGGUUAGAGUUUGGAGAGCUGUGACUCUCUUCUCAGUGACAUUCCAGAGACUGUUUAAUUUACUAGCACAGAUUAGUAACCUAUAGGGCUACUCCUCCCAUUUUUAUAUUUGAAACUUAUUCUGCCAUAAAAGAAAUCAAAUGAAAAUUCUUGCUCUGAUCUGCUCCUACUGACCUCACUCCUUCACCAUGAACUUUGCCAGCCAAAUUGAAAUUGGAUGAUAUUAUCAGGCAUCUCUUCAGAAGUUCACUUCCAGAAGUACAGUUUAUCUACUGAAUUCCUUCUACCUUUUAUCUCUUAGUUGCCAUCUCUAACAGUACACCACAUUAGAAUCACAAACAAUUAGCUCCAUUGUAUGCUGUACUUACGCUCUCUAGUGUUUGUUUUCUUCCCAGCUGAAUCCACGUGUUGGUUGAAUGUUGACAUCCACCUUUGACAGACAAAUUCCACCAUCAAUAAAUGGACCCAGCUCAGCAUAUCUGCUACACCUGCACAUAAGUACCAUACCACUGGCAUUCGGAAUGACCUUCUUGUGCACCUUUCUUACCCCAAAUAGAUCAGCUCCAGUGCUAAUGGUUUUUUUAUUUGAGAUUAAUAUUAUUUACCUAUAUCAAAGUUGAUAAUUGAGAUAUUAAACAGUCUGGUAAAACCCUUCCCUGAUUCCUAUCCAUUCUGAACUUUUGAAAACAGAGAACAGUAUUAAGAAAUGUGAAAACAAAUAGCCUUCAAACCUGAAACCUAAUACAUUAAAACCUUUUAAACGUAUAGGAAGAAAUAAAAUAUGAAUUUCAUAACUAUCUUAGUACAUUCACUUACUGAGGCCACUUCUAUGUGAAAUUUUAGGUGGAAUGGGAAAUGCUGAACCAACCAAGAGUAAGGAUCAAUAUUUUAAUUUGCAUAGGACAUUUACAUGUUGGGUGAGAUAAAUGGCUGGAUAUUUCCCUUUUCUUCUUACAGGAACCAACUCAAAGAGGCUGGCGUGUAGACAAUUAGUUUUAGUAUCACAGCAUCAACCUUCUGGAAACCAGGCAGUGGGGAGUCCCUUAUCUCCAGCAAACUCUCCAGUGAAGCCUGCAAGAUGCUUGAACCCUGAAAGGUCCCUUUGGGCUGGGGAAGCAAGGAGAAGGUGAACCGCUCCCCCUGAUGCCUAAAAGAAAACUCAGGGAGAAAAAACUCCGAGACAACCUAGUUUUGAAGGCUGAACUACACUACUGAAGAAAAGACCGACAGCGUGAAGGACCAAGUCUUUCAAGUUUUAUUUUGCCAGUUGUGUAAUCUAACACAGCCAUCGAGGUUUUGGGAAUCCAACACGCUGGUGCGGAGUUCAGUUCUGGUCCACCCUGCCUGUACACAGAACAUUCUUCUAAGAGGUAAGGCAUAAAAAGAUUUUUUUUUUUUUAGGUCACUCCUUAGUCACCGUGGAAGAGUGCACUUGCUUGUCUGCACAUGCUGAAACUGGUCAACCUUCUCUUGG
Molecule: long non-coding RNA, 2855 nt
Organism: Pseudopipra pipra
Lineage: Eukaryota; Metazoa; Chordata; Aves; Passeriformes; Pipridae
Exons: 4
Source: RefSeq, a predicted model, not a curated record